Molecule: long non-coding RNA, 1792 nt
Filed under: Lupinus angustifolius (narrow-leaved blue lupine)
Lineage: Eukaryota; Viridiplantae; Streptophyta; Magnoliopsida; Fabales; Fabaceae
Description: long non-coding RNA (LANG_LNC002910)
Source: RNAcentral
UGAGAAGACUGUCUAAAUUGAAAACUGCGUUGUUCCUAUUGAAGCAAGAAGUAUAUUCAAUGCAAGUCCAUGCAAUUUGAAACCUAACAAAUGCACAAAUACAUGUUCAAGAAAAACAACAAUAAUACCUCUCAUCUUUUCACUCAAAAGUAAUAAACAUGAAUUGAAGAUCAAUUCUCACCAGGUUUGCGAAGAGAUCAGGGGAAGCUGGAAACCCGAACAUCACAAGUGAUUGGUUCAAAAACUUUGCACAAUGCUCCAAAUCAGAAAACUUGUACUCCCUGAAACGUUAAAAAGAAAAAAUGCCAUCAACACAACAAUGUGACUCGUGAAAUAGAUCAGAGAACAAAACUAAAUAAUAGAAUCAAGAUUGUACUAUAGUUAGAGUCAACUAAUCCAUUGUGGAGGCAUAAUGAAAAUAUGGUUGAAAAUAAAAUUAGAAAUGUAGAGAAAUGAGAAGGAAUAAUGCAUAUAGGGAAUGUUGGAAAUUACUUUAAGAUAGUAUAUAGGGAAUGCUCUUUUAUGUAUAUAGUUAUAAAUAGUAUUUGCUUAGUUGAAAGUGUUAGCUUUUACCUUGUUUUACUCCUUGUUUUGUCUGGUAUGUUCUUUUAGACCCUUUGAUGGCCUAAUAAGUAUCAUAUCAUUUAUCCUUGUUAGUGUUUCAUUUAAUUUUGAUUACAUAGGCUCGUUCUUUUCUAGUGAUGUACUUGGUAUGUUGGAGUUCCAACUUUUUCUAGUAUUUAACAUUAAACUUGAUGGGUAAUUCUAUUGACAUUCAAAAAAUUAUUGCUCACACAUGGACAAAAAUGCAACGUUUGUUAAUGUAAAUGUAAAUGUAAAUGUUAUAAGUAGGCAAUCCAUCAAGGUGUAAGCAAUUAUUUUUUGGGUGUUAAUAGAUUGUCCAAACUUGACAUAGUAUGAAUUAAUGUUCAAAUUGCAGUCUAAUUACACUUCCACUGUCAUUCCAACACAAUGUUGCAACUAUUCAAAAUUUCUAACAAAAAAGUCAAUUAUAUAUCAAAAAAUAAUAUAGAGUAAAAACCCAACUUAAAUCGACAAAUAUUUUGACAAAACUAUUUUGAUCUUUAAUAAUAAGUUGGACUAAUACACACUCGUGCUAAUCUACACCAAAUGCAUGGGGUUGUUAUAGAUUAAGUAACAAUCAUUUAGUUUAAAUAAUAAUUUCUUUUAUACAAUUUUAUUUUAUACAAAAUAAAUAGUGCAACUAUUUCAUAAUAGGAAGUAAACUAACUAUAUUCUCAACUUGCCAAAUCAAUUGCAUAAAAUAUCAUAAUAGGAAGAGUCCACUUCUUUGUAUAACAAAAAACUCCAAUUUCAUUUAUAAUGUGCAAUAAUUGGCUCCUUCACUAACUGUACAACAUCUAAGUGAUUGAUUCCCCUACCAGUUAUAUUUUGCCCCAAACAAUGACAGAGAAAGAGAGUAAUAGUAAUUGAUAGGUAAAGAGAAAAAUCAUACCUUGAGUGAACACAGAGGCAAAUGUAAAGAAAGAGAAAUAAGUUGAAAGAGUGAACACGAUGGCUCUAUGAUGUUAUGGGUCGAUUAUUUCAUCCAUGUUGUGCAUUUGCAGAUCUCCAGAUGAAAAAAAAAAGUGUUGAUUUAUUUAGUACAUGUGAAGAAAGGAAUGGAACAACAAGAUACACAAAAUAAAAUAAAAACAUAAAGUAAGACAUAAAACAUGCACACUUAGAAAAAUAUUUUCUUCAUAGAAAAAAAUGUGUUAAGAACACAUAAAUGAUGAGAUGAGUUGAAAGAAAGAACCUGGAAGGAGAA